GACGAACGCUGGCGGCGUGCUUAACACAUGCAAGUCGAACGGAAAGGCCCCCACCUUGGUGGGGGUGCUCGAGUGGCGCACGGGUGAGUAACACGUGGGUGAUCUGCCCUGUACUUCGGGAUAAGCUUGGGAAACUGGGUCUAAUACCGGAUAGGACCAUGGUUUAGUGUCUCAUGGUGGAAAAAUUAUUGUUUUGGUGCAGGAUGAGCUCUCGGCCUAUCAGCUUGUUGGUGGGGUAAUGGCCUACCAAGGCGUCGACGGGUAGGCGGCCUGAGAGGGUGGACGGCCGCAUUGGGACUGAGAUACGGCCCAGACGCCUACGGGAGGCAGCAGUGGGGAAUAUGGAACAAUGGGCGCAAGCCUGAUGCAGCGACGCCGCGGGGGGGAUGACGGGCUUGGGGUUGUAAACUCCUUUCGUUAGGGAGGAAGCCACACCUUUUUUGGGUGUGGUGACGGUACCUUUGUUAAGAAGCACCGGCUAACUACG
Molecule: ribosomal RNA, 487 nt
Filed under: uncultured bacterium
Lineage: Bacteria
Description: partial 16S ribosomal RNA
Rfam family: Bacterial small subunit ribosomal RNA
Source: RNAcentral